Molecule: ribosomal RNA, 409 nt
Filed under: uncultured bacterium
Lineage: Bacteria
Description: bacterial SSU rRNA
Rfam family: Bacterial small subunit ribosomal RNA
Source: RNAcentral
UGGGGAAUAUUGGGCAAUGGAGGAAACUCUGACCCAGCGACGCCGCGUGAGGGAUGAAGGCCUUCGGGUUGUAAACCUCUUUCAGUAGGGAAGAAGCGAAAGUGACGGUACCUACAGAAGAAGCACCGGCUAACUAUGUGCCAGCAGCCGCGGUAAUACAUAGGGUGCAAGCGUUGUCCGGAUUUAUUGGGCGUAAAGAGCUCGUAGGUCGUUAGUUACGUCGGAUGUGAAAUUUUGGGGCUCAACCCCAAACCUGCAUUCGAUACGGGCUAACUAGAGUUUGGUAGGGGAGACUGGAAUUCCUGGUGUAGCGGUGGAAUGCGCAGAUAUCAGGAGGAACACCGAUGGCGAAGGCAGGUCUCUGGGCCAAUACUGACACUGAGGAGCGAAAGCGUGGGGAGCGAACAGG